AAAACUCGUCAUCUUUUUCUACCAGCUUUUCAGAAAUGAACAUUUCUUUUACACAUACAAAAACAACAACAACGACGACAGCAAUAACAUACCAUUAAUAUUCUUACCGUAUCAACCUCUAACAAUGAAAGUAUACCGUCGCAAAAAAUGAAGACAAAAAAAAAAAAAUCCCUUUGCCCGCACAUAGCGAUACCAUUGUACUACAAAAUUUGUGUUUAGUCUAAAAGAUUAUGC
RNAcentral lists this long non-coding RNA (234 nucleotides) under Gossypium barbadense (sea-island cotton). RNAcentral describes it as "long non-coding RNA (GBAR_LNC016819)". Lineage: Eukaryota; Viridiplantae; Streptophyta; Magnoliopsida; Malvales; Malvaceae. The record is from RNAcentral.